AAGUCGUAACAAAGUAACCGUAGGUGGACCUGCGGUUGGAUUAUUAGAAAUAUAUUAAGUGAUGAUGAAUUUAGCGCUAAAUAUUCUUGGUCUAUGCCAUCGCCUUAACCCUAGAGUAUUAAGGGGAAUUCGUUAGCUUAUUUCACAACUUGUGCACUGUAAUUGUUUUUGGGCGGUUUAUUAAACCGAAUCGCCAGCCAGUUUAAAAAAAAUUCUAAAUUGUUGAUUGAUGUUUAUUUUUAAAUUAUAAAUCACUUUAGGCAACGGAUCUCUUGC
This 276-nucleotide unclassified non-coding RNA is filed under the name fungal sp. RNAcentral describes it as "partial internal transcribed spacer region". The record is from RNAcentral. Lineage: Eukaryota; Fungi.